Molecule: ribosomal RNA, 465 nt
Filed under: Vreelandella stevensii
Lineage: Bacteria; Pseudomonadati; Pseudomonadota; Gammaproteobacteria; Oceanospirillales; Halomonadaceae
Description: partial 16S ribosomal RNA
Rfam family: Bacterial small subunit ribosomal RNA
Source: RNAcentral
CCUACGGGCGGCUGCAGUGGGGAAUAUUGGACAAUGGGGGGAACCCUGAUCCAGCCAUGCCGCGUGUGUUAAGAAGGCCCUCGGGUUGUAAAGCACUUUCAGUGAGGAAGAACGCCUGGUGGUUAAUACCCAUCAGGAAAGACAUCACUCACAGAAGAAGCACCGGCUAACUCCGUGCCAGCAGCCGCGGUAAUACGGAGGGUGCGAGCGUUAAUCGGAAUUACUGGGCGUAAAGCGCGCGUAGGUGGCUUGAUAAGCCGGUUGUGAAAGCCCCGGGCUCAACCUGGGAACGGCAUCCGGAACUGUCAAGCUAGAGUGCAGGAGAGGAAGGUAGAAUUCCCGGUGUAGCGGUGAAAUGCGUAGAGAUCGGGAGGAAUACCAGUGGCGAAGGCGGCCUUCUGGACUGACACUGACACUGAGGUGCGAAAGCGUGGGUAGCAAACAGGAUUAGAUACCCUGGUAGUC